ACCCUGUUUGUUCAAUAUGGAAAAGUCUAGUUCCCUAUGGGAUAUCCCUAGUGGGAGCCUGCCAGGGAGUAAGAACCGAGAAUUGAUGAGCUUUGGUGACUCAAAUCUGGAAGCACAAAAACCACCAGUCCCAGAAUUUAGCUAUUAUACCAGUGUGCAUUCUAAAAUGUUUUUCUGAACAUUUUGGGGUUUUUUCAUAGGGGGUCGGGUGGGUGUGGAAGUAGAGGGGAGAAGGACAGAUUGGCAGGGUUUUAAAUGUUCUGAUGACCAGGUCAGGGUCAAAGGAUGUUACCAGGAUUCCUUCCCUUCCCUUCCGUUCCCUUCAUUUCACUUAGGUAAGGAUGAUAUGGUAUGACUUGAUGGAAUUAUGUAGU
Molecule: long non-coding RNA, 374 nt
Filed under: Homo sapiens (human)
Lineage: Eukaryota; Metazoa; Chordata; Mammalia; Primates; Hominidae
Description: SMG6 intronic transcript 1 (SMG6-IT1)
Source: RNAcentral